CCCUUAGAUGUUCUGGGCCGCACGCGCGCUACAAUGAUGAAUUCAACGAGUUUAUAACCUUGGUUGAAAAGCCUGGGUAAUCUUUUGAACUUUCGUCGUGAUGGGGCUAGACCCUUGCAAUUAUUGGUCUCCAACGAGGAAUUCCUAGUAAACGCAAGUCAUCAGCUUGCAUUGAUUACGUCCCUGCCCUUUGUACACACCGCCCGUCGCGCCUACCGAUUGAAUGGUCCGGUGAAAUCUUCGGAUUGAGACUUUGUUUUCUUCACGGAAAACGCUGUUUUAAAAAGUUGAUUAAACCUUACCAUUUAGAGGAAGGUGAAGUCGUAACA
Molecule: ribosomal RNA, 329 nt
Filed under: uncultured eukaryote
Lineage: Eukaryota
Description: partial 18S ribosomal RNA
Rfam family: Eukaryotic small subunit ribosomal RNA
Source: RNAcentral